GACGAACGCUGGCGGCGCGCUUAACACAUGCAAGUCGAACGGAAAGGCCCUGCUUUUGUGGGGUGCUCGAGUGGCGAACGGGUGAGUAACACGUGAGUAACCUGCCCUUGACUUUGGGAUAACUUCAGGAAACUGGGGCUAAUACCGGAUAGGAGCUCCUGCUGCAUGGUGGGGGUUGGUAAGUUUCGGCGGUUGGGGAUGGACUCGCGGCUUAUCAGCUUGUUGGUGGGGUAGUGGCUUACCAAGGCUUUGACGGGUAGCCGGCCUGAGAGGGUGACCGGCCACAUUGGGACUGAGAUACGGCCCAGACUCCUACGGGAGGCAGCAGUGGGGAAUAUUGCACAAUGGGCGGAAGCCUGAUGCAGCAACGCCGCGUGCGGGAUGACGGCCUUCGGGUUGUAAACCGCUUUCGCCUGUGACGAAGCGUGAGUGACGGUAAUGGGUAAAGAAGCACCGGCUAACUACGUG
RNAcentral lists this ribosomal RNA (468 nucleotides) under uncultured bacterium. Its description in RNAcentral is "partial 16S ribosomal RNA". It matches the Rfam family "Bacterial small subunit ribosomal RNA", at positions 28 to 507 of the family's 1533-position model. The record is from RNAcentral.